CGUAUUCUCGACCUGCCGUCGUGUAGGACGGAUGGGGCGACAGGACGUCGCCCCAAGCCGAGGGGGCACAGGACGUGCCCUCGGAGGCGGUCCGUUCGGAACAGGCAGGUCGAGAAUACGC
Dethiosulfovibrio peptidovorans DSM 11002 is the source of this 121-nucleotide regulatory RNA element. The record is from Rfam. NCBI's taxonomy places the organism in Bacteria, Thermotogati, Synergistota, Synergistia, Synergistales, Dethiosulfovibrionaceae.